CCUACGGGCGGCUGCAGUAGGGAAUAUUGCUCAAUGGGGGAAACCCUGAAGCAGCAACGCCGCGUGGAGGAUGAAGGUUUUCUGAUUGUAAACUCCUUUUUUUAGAGAAGUUAAUGACGGUAUCUAACGAAUAAUCACCGGCAAACUCCGUUCCAGCAGCCGCGGUACUACGGAGGGUGCAAGCGUUACUCGGAAUCACUGGGCGUAAAGAGCGCGUAGGCGGGAUAGCAAGUCAGAUGUGAAAUCCUAUGGCUUAACCAUAGAACUGAAUUUGAAACUGUUAUUCUAGAGUAUGUGAGAGGUAGGUGGAAUUCUGGGUGUAGGGGUAAAAUCCGUAGAGAUCAAGAGGAAUACUCAUUGCGAAGGCGACCUGCUAGAACAUAACUGACGCUGAUGCGCGAAAGCGUGGGGAGCAAACAGGAUUAGAUACCCGGUAGUC
Molecule: ribosomal RNA, 439 nt
Filed under: uncultured bacterium
Lineage: Bacteria
Description: partial 16S ribosomal RNA
Rfam family: Bacterial small subunit ribosomal RNA
Source: RNAcentral